GCCUUGGUAGCUCAGUGGAUAGAGCGACCCCCUCCUAAGGGGUAGGUCGCAAGUUCGAUUCUUGCCCAGGGCACCA
Molecule: transfer RNA, 76 nt
Filed under: Burkholderiales bacterium
Lineage: Bacteria; Pseudomonadati; Pseudomonadota; Betaproteobacteria; Burkholderiales
Also listed under: 1 other name
Description: tRNA-Arg
Rfam family: tRNA
About the family: Transfer RNA (tRNA) molecules are approximately 80 nucleotides in length. Their secondary structure includes four short double-helical elements and three loops (D, anti-codon, and T loops). Further hydrogen bonds mediate the characteristic L-shaped molecular structure. tRNAs have two regions of fundamental functional importance: the anti-codon, which is responsible for specific mRNA codon recognition, and the 3' end, to which the tRNAs corresponding amino acid is attached (by aminoacyl-tRNA synthetases). tRNAs cope with the degeneracy of the genetic code in two manners: having more than one tRNA (with a specific anti-codon) for a particular amino acid; and 'wobble' base-pairing, i.e. permitting non-standard base-pairing at the 3rd anti-codon position.
Source: RNAcentral